Molecule: long non-coding RNA, 225 nt
Filed under: Ananas comosus (pineapple)
Lineage: Eukaryota; Viridiplantae; Streptophyta; Magnoliopsida; Poales; Bromeliaceae
Description: long non-coding RNA (ACOM_LNC023549)
Source: RNAcentral
AAACAAAUAACAUACAUGAUUUGCGCGGGAAAAAUAAACUAUAGCAAGAGAGAAAUUUAACUAAACUAUUACAUCCAUUCAUUUACUUAACCAUUUACAAAUCACUAAAAUACAACCAUUUAACUCAUACAUAGAUUUCCUCACUACAUGAUCUCUCCGAAAUAUAUAUAUAUAACAUGUCUCUCACAUAUAUAUGUGUCACACCCCAAUAAUCCCACAUCGAAU